UGGCGGCGUGCCUAUACAUGCAGUCGAGCGGACCGACGGGAGCUUGCUCCCUUAGGUCAGCGGCGGACGGGUGAGUAACACGUGGGUAACCUGCCUGUAAGACUGGGAUAACUCCGGGAAACCGGGGCUAAUACCGGAUGCUUGAUUGAACCGCAUGGUUCAAUCAUAAAAGGNGGCUUUYAGCUACCACUUACAGAUGGACCCGCGGCGCAUUAGCUAGUUGGUGAGGUAACGGCUCACCAAGGCGACGAUGCGUAGCCGACCUGAGAGGGUGAUCGGCCACACUGGGACUGAGACACGGCCCAGACUCCUACGGGAGGCAGCAGUAGGGAAUCUUCCGCAAUGGACGAAAGUCUGACGGAGCAACGCCSCGUGAGUGAUGAAGGUUUUCGGAUCGUAAAACUCUGUUGUUAGGGAAGAACAAGUACCGUUCGAAUAGGGCGGNACCUUGACGGUACCUAACCAGAAAGCCACGGCUAACUACGUGCCAGCAGCCGCGGUAAUACGUAGGUGGCAAGCGUUGUCCGGAAUUAUUGGGCGUAAAGCGCGCGCAGGCGGUUUCUUAAGUCUGAUGUGAAAGCCCCCGGCUCAACCGGGGAGGGUCAUUGGAAACUGGGGAACUUUGAGUGCAGAAGAGGAGAGUGGAAUUCCNCGUGUAGCGGUGAAAUGCGUNAGAUGUGGAGGACACCAGUGGCGAAGGCGACUCUCUGGUNUGUAACUGACGCUGAGCGCGAAGCGUG
RNAcentral lists this ribosomal RNA (740 nucleotides) under Bacillus sp. enrichment culture clone BC2. RNAcentral describes it as "bacterial SSU rRNA". It matches the Rfam family "Bacterial small subunit ribosomal RNA", at positions 37 to 763 of the family's 1533-position model. The record is from RNAcentral. Lineage: Bacteria; Bacillati; Bacillota; Bacilli; Caryophanales; Bacillaceae.